Molecule: unclassified non-coding RNA, 102 nt
Organism: Nomascus leucogenys (northern white-cheeked gibbon)
Lineage: Eukaryota; Metazoa; Chordata; Mammalia; Primates; Hylobatidae
Rfam family: Y RNA
About the family: Y RNAs are components of the Ro ribonucleoprotein particle (Ro RNP), in association with Ro60 and La proteins. The Y RNAs and Ro60 and La proteins are well conserved, but the function of the Ro RNP is not known.
Source: Ensembl
AGCUGGUGUGGGUGCAGUGGUGUUUACAACUAAUGGAUCACAAACAGUCACAGAUUUCUUUGUUCCAUCUCCACUCCCACUUCUACACUUGACUAGCCUUAA